Molecule: ribosomal RNA, 486 nt
Filed under: uncultured bacterium
Lineage: Bacteria
Description: bacterial SSU rRNA
Rfam family: Bacterial small subunit ribosomal RNA
Source: RNAcentral
AUUGAACGCUGGCGGCAAGCCUAACACAUGCAAGUCGAACGGUAACAGGCCCUUCGGGUGCUGACGAGUGGCGGAUGGGUGAGUAAUACUUAGGAAUCUACCCUGUAGUGGGGGACAACCCGGGGAAACUCGGGCUAAUACCGCAUACGCUCUACGGAGGAAAGCGGGGGACCGCAAGGCCUCGCGCUAUUGGAUGAGCCUAAGCCCGAUUAGCUAGUUGGUGGGGUAAUAGCCUACCAAGGCAAUGAUCGGUAGCUGGUCUGAGAGGACGACCAGCCACACUGGGACUGAGACACGGCCCAGACUCCUACGGGAGGCAGCAGUGGGGAAUAUUGGACAAUGGGCGAAAGCCUGAUCCAGCGAUGCCGCGUGUGUGAAGAAGGCCUGCGGGUUGUAAAGCCCUGUCGAGGGGGACGAAACGGUGCCGACCUAACACGUCGGUGCCCUGACGGUACCCUAAAGGAGCACCGGCUAACUCCGUGCCAG